GGAAUUUUCCGCAAUGGGCGAAAGCCUGACGGAGCAACGCCGCGUGAGGGAUGAAGGCCUCUGGGCUGUAAACCUCUUUUCUCAAGGAAGAAGAUCUGACGGUACUUGAGGAAUAAGCCACGGCUAAUUCCGUGCCAGCAGCCGCGGUAAUACGGGAGUGGCAAGCGUUAUCCGGAAUUAUUGGGCGUAAAGCGUCCGCAGGCGGCCUUGAAAGUCUGUCGUUAAAGCGUGGAGCUUAACUCCAUUUAAGCGAUGGAAACUACAAGGCUAGAGUGUGGUAGGGGCAGAGGGAAUUCCCGGUGUAGCGGUGAAAUGCGUAGAUAUCGGGAAGAACACCAGUGGCGAAGGCGCUCUGCUGGGCCAUAACUGACGCUCAUGGACGAAAGCCAGGGGAGCGAAAGGGAUUAGAUACCCCUGUAGUCCUGGCCGUAAACGAUGAACACUAGGUGUCGGGGGAAUCGACCCCCUCGGUGUCGUAGCCAACGCGUUAAGUGUUCCGCCUGGGGAGUACGCACGCAAGUGUGAAACUCAAAGGAAUUGACGG
RNAcentral lists this ribosomal RNA (544 nucleotides) under uncultured bacterium. Its description in RNAcentral is "bacterial SSU rRNA". It matches the Rfam family "Bacterial small subunit ribosomal RNA", at positions 358 to 916 of the family's 1533-position model. The record is from RNAcentral.